GGGCCCUCCAACUCGCCACCCAGAGCUCCUGUUGAGGAGCAUCCCCCCCCCAACAAACUACUGGUGAGGAAGAGGAUAUCACGGUUGCUGGAGAGGUCGAGGUCCAGGAAGAGCCCGUUGUGAUGAGCCUCGCUCAGGAAGCUGUAAAAGAGAUUAUGCUGCGACAAGCAGCUAUAACAAAAAGGCAACAAUUAAUCCUUGGUAACCAGAGAAAAAUCAUCUAUCUAGUCAAGCAAAAUGAACAGCUGGAGGAGCAACAAAUGACAGAGAUGAUAGAGUUGGAAAAAAUGCAGAAGCGCAUGAGCCAUUCUGUUUGAUUUUUUUUUGUAAUAAAAAGUGUUAUUUUUUGGAAA
This is a long non-coding RNA of Rana temporaria (common frog), 353 nucleotides long. RefSeq lists it as uncharacterized. Lineage: Eukaryota; Metazoa; Chordata; Amphibia; Anura; Ranidae. The transcript is spliced from 2 exons. The record is from RefSeq and is a predicted model, not a curated record.